Molecule: long non-coding RNA, 1014 nt
Filed under: Zea mays
Lineage: Eukaryota; Viridiplantae; Streptophyta; Magnoliopsida; Poales; Poaceae
Description: drought responsive lncRNA
Source: RNAcentral
GGAAAGAUGGCUUCUACCUGCAAGAAUAUUUUCAUUGAGAGCGUGGUGGGAUCUUACUGCAAAGUUCCCUGUGAUGCUCUUUUCAUCCUAAGGAACACAAACAAUCCUAAGGGUGGAAAUACUUAAAUCGGGACUUGGGCUAGGAACAGGUGAUGUUCUACCCAGGUUGAUUAAGGAUUGGAUGCGUAUGUUGGCCUGCUGACCGAGGACCCUUUAACUGGUCACAUGCCUCGUCAUGGGUAAGCUUUGCCUCGGGUAGACUAAGGCCAGAAUAAGAUAACACGAAAUGGGCGUGGAGCGGUGGCGAGAGUAGCGUGUACCCUCCGUGGCAAGAGGCUGGACGGUGGUGUAUCUGUGCUCUCGGUUUGCGUGAACCUGAUCUGGUCUUAAGAACCCCGGUGGCGAGUUGACAUAUGCAAGGGUUAAGUGCUACAUAUGUCGUGUGAUUGGAGAUCCUCAGCUGAGUAUAAUCGAUUCGGAUCGCCGUACCUUCGCGGUUAUGAAGACUUGGUCACUGACCUGCAACCUAAGUCAGGAUGUGAACAUUAUGAAUAAAAAUGAUGUUGUAUUGAUGAGAUGGUGAAAGUAGACCAUAUGCAAACAAAGUCUAUUAAUACUUAAUCUGGCAUUAAAAUAUUGAAAGUAAGGACUCACUUUAGUAAGCUAUUUCUGCAAAAGUAUCUAAGUUGAUUCUUGCUAAAGCCUCUCCUUGAUUCCCAAAUCCAGCAUAUCCUUGAGAGUCUUUUCUUUAGUCGGGUAAGUCUUGCUGAGUAAUUCCAUACUCAGGGUUUUAUUCCCUGUUGUUUUUCAGGUUUUAACUUUGUGCUGUUGUUGAUGGUGUUAAGUGCCGGUGGGCUCGGCCUUCUUAUAAGUCUAAGUAACUCUUCUAUACUUCUUAUUGAGGAUGAUCACUUAAGCUAGCAUAUAUUUCAAACUUAUACUUUUGUAAUCACUCCGAUAAAAUAAUGUAAAAUUUUUGUAACCUAUAAAAUUUGGUAAUAAGAUUUCCGCUGC